Molecule: ribosomal RNA, 253 nt
Filed under: uncultured bacterium
Lineage: Bacteria
Description: partial 16S ribosomal RNA
Rfam family: Bacterial small subunit ribosomal RNA
Source: RNAcentral
UACAGAGGUCUCAAGCGUUGUUCGGAUUCAUUGGGCGUAAAGGGUGCGUAGGCGGCGCGGUAAGUCGGGUGUGAAAUUUCGGAGCUUAACUCCGAAACUGCAUUCGAUACUGCUGUGCUUGAGGACUGGAGAGGAGACUGGAAUUUACGGUGUAGCGGUGAAAUGCGUAGAUAUCGUAAGGAAGACCAGUGGCGAAGGCGGGUCUCUGGACAGUUACUGACGCUGAGGCACGAAGGCCAGGGGAGCAAACGGG